RNAcentral lists this ribosomal RNA (233 nucleotides) under uncultured bacterium. RNAcentral describes it as "partial 16S ribosomal RNA". It matches the Rfam family "Bacterial small subunit ribosomal RNA", at positions 102 to 334 of the family's 1533-position model. The record is from RNAcentral.
ACGGCUGAGGAAGACGGAAGGAACCUACCCGCGCGAGGGGAUACCGCCGCGAAAGCGGCGCUAAGACCGCGUACGCUCAUUCGGGGAAGAGCCGAAUGAGGAAAACCGUAAGGUGCGCGCGGAGGGGCUUCCGGCCCAUCAGGUAGUUGGUGGAGGUAAUGGCUCACCAAGCCGAUGACGGGUCGCUGGUCUCAGAGGAUGAUCAGCCAGACUGGGACUGCGACACGGCCCAG